RNAcentral lists this ribosomal RNA (253 nucleotides) under uncultured bacterium. Its description in RNAcentral is "partial 16S ribosomal RNA". It matches the Rfam family "Bacterial small subunit ribosomal RNA", at positions 524 to 776 of the family's 1533-position model. The record is from RNAcentral.
UACGGAGGGAGCAAGCGUUACUCGGAAUUAUUGGGCGUAAAGGGCGCGUAGGCGUUCCUGCAAGUCGGUUGUGAAAGCCCCGGGCUUAACCCGGGAAGUGCAGCUGAUACUGCGGGAAUUGAGUUCCGGAGAGGAAGGUGGAAUGCUUGGUGUAGAGGUGAAAUUCGUAGAUAUCAAGCAGAACACCUGCGGCGAAGGCGGCCUUCUGGACGAUGACUGACGCUGAGACGCGAAAGCGUGGGGAGCAAACAGG